GUGAACCGAUCUAGUAAAUAAACCUGGAUCAAUAGGAUCCUCGAUUUUGGUUGGUUCAGCAAUGCUAAGUUUAUCUGAGGGGAAGACGAACCUCCCAGUUCUCGUCGCGGUCUCUUCGAUAAUCUUUAUAUUUAAAGCGCUGUUGCAUGGUAGAAAUAAGGAUGGACGACCACUUCCAAGGAUUUUAAUUUUAUUCACUGGUGAAUCGAGCAUUUCAACAAAUUUGGGUGCAUUUUAGUCAACGUCUGCUUUGUGCUCCCCGCUGUGAACUUCAGUCACUUUGUGAGUUCUCGUGAACUGAGGUGUGAAGUGCAAUGUUGAGGGGUAUGUGUCGCUACCGCACUCUGUGCACUUUAUGACUACCUUGCAGUCUCGUUUGAAGUACUCCUUGGAUCUGCAACAUCAAACACAUAUGCCAUUCUCCUUCCGGAGUUGUCGUCUCUCUUCAAUAAACUUAACCCUGCAUGAUUUACAUUCGUUCAAAGUGUGCUUCGAGUUAGUAUGUGCAAUCCACUUUUAAGCACACUGUCAGUGUUGCCCUUCGUAACUUCAGUCUUUCUAAUGUUCACUUUAAGGAUAAGAAUGGGGUAUUUAUUAGAGGAUCUACCAACGAAAUAUAGGCCUACGGUGCACAAUACAACUGCUAUUACAAUCCCUCUUAUUUCUUAUCAGAACAACAAUCCUCAUCGUUUUGAUAACGUACAUAUACAAUCUUUCGAAAUACGGAUUGCAUCAUAACAAAAAUAACAUUGACCUUUUGAUAGAAAAUAAAUCAUUUUAGUGAGAAUGAGAUGCUUUGAAUACACAAAAAGUGCGUCACAAUGCAUGUUGAGUAUGACUUCAGCAUUAAAACUAUAGUGUAGAAAAUUAUCUGUUAGACGGAUCUUUGUUGGAUUUUUUUCUAUGAGAAACAAGUGUUCUACAAUAUAUAUACGUCAAAUUUUAUAAACUAUUAAUUUACUAUCUUCGAUAUCGCUAUUAUUUAUCCAUUUUGGAUUUUUCCCCUUGUAAACUAGAACAGAGCAUACAUUUAGGAAAUUUAUUUUGAACAAUAUAUGCAAUCUAAAAUAACAAUGACAUUCUGUUUAAACCAUGUGUCAAAUAAUCAUUUUUUAUUCUUUCUUUUUUCUUUUUGCUGAUGUAUUUUCACAUUUGUGUAUAUUUUCAUGCUGUACCUCGAGGACCCUUGGCCUUUGGAAAUAAGAUAUGAACAUGCUGGGAGUUUAAGUGGCAAGCUUUGUGACAGAAAGCGUCAUUUUCAGUCCCUAUUUGUCCCUGGGGCUAAUAUCACUGUCAUGAUCGUGUGCAGGAUUGGACAAAACAAGAUGGCAGACGGCAUUUCCAAACAAAGAUAUAACGCUGGCUGUUCGAAUCCAGGAUAUAUAAGACCAUUUUGACCUAUAAAACACGUAUCAAGCCCUAGAACUUCAUUCUAUAAGAUGGGUACACUUCGAAUGUGCGAAAUUGGUGGUGAGGAAUUCAAGACCAAUUCUGAAUUUCGUAGGCAUGUAAAAAGGAAACAUCAAUCAGAGAAAUUGUCUUCGUUUGUGACCAGUGACCACACACGCUUUUGCACAUUAUAAAAGAAACAUGAAGUAAAAAAAAAUUACAUUGUUUUCUGAAUACACGAAGUGCAUACAUAUACCAUGGCAGCCGUUUUAUAUAUCCGUUUAUGUACAUUAUGAAACGAUUAUUUUUACGGUAUUAUGCUUUGUUUUACAGAGAUACUACUAAUCUUUUACAAAUGCAUUUUACACAUGUUGAUUUGUUAUUUCAUUGAACCAGAAGUGUUCUUAAUUUUUAUAUGUUAUUAAACAUAUUUCAAUGUUA
Molecule: long non-coding RNA, 1830 nt
Organism: Ostrea edulis (European flat oyster)
Lineage: Eukaryota; Metazoa; Mollusca; Bivalvia; Ostreida; Ostreidae
Exons: 3
Source: RefSeq, a predicted model, not a curated record